UCUAUUUUCUGGUUUUUCUCUCAAGCUUAUCUUGAAACUUUCACCAUUGUCCAAACUCAUCGACUAGUCGGCUGAGAAAACAAGCAUUGUAUAUCAGACCAAUCAAGCCCUUGAGCCUGAAGCUGGAAUGACAGUGGUUCACCUAGUAUGCCAACAGAAUGGAUAUUGACCAACUGUACCCGUCCACUUCAGAGUUCCGAGAAGAAUGCCAUGCAUUCAGAUGUAUUCUUUCAGAGACCGAGAGAUUCUGCAGGCAUAUUGUUUUGUGACUGCCUUAUGGUGCAGCUUGGGGAGGUUUUAGGGGCUGGUUUUGUUUUGGAUUGCUCACUUUGUUCCAAAAAGCUUUCUGAUCAGCAAAGUACUGAGAUAGAGCUGGCAACAUCGGCUCAUUCAGUGAAUUAAGUUUGAAAAAGGGCGUGAACGUCCUCAGCUGGAAAUACACAUUCCUUCUGCACCCUGGCAGUUAGCUCCUUUCAGUUCAACUUAUAAGCAAAGCAUACUUUCAGUUUAAGAAGUGAAUUCAAUCAAAGGGCCACGGCAUCGUCGGAGCUCAGGUAGCUCGGAUGUGGCUUGGCUUUUGCACAAAAGCACUCUAAGGACAAAACAAUGACCUUUGCGCUUUAUGGAGACGGUGUUGCAAAUCAAGGACACUGUUUGAGGCACUUAAUAUCUCUGCGCUUUGGGAUUUGCCUGCGAUUCUGGUCUGUGAGAAUAAUCACUGUAAUUAAGCAAUUAGCUUGGUCUUUUCUUUCAUGAAGGGUAAGCAUUUGAGAGGAAGAUUUGAAUAAGGAGAUGAAGAACUCGGUGUCGGAUCUCAAUUUUACAUUUAGAGUGAAGAAGAAGAUGAUAAGGAGAAGCGCAACAAAAGCAUAGAAGAUGGGAAUGAUUCUGAUUCUUCGGGCUCAGAAGCCGAGCACCGCAGGCAGCAGUACAUUCAGCCCAGUUCUUACAACAUCCCAUAGCCUCAAAGUUACAGAUGGGACAGUGGAUUACAAAGGAAACCCAGCUAAUAAAAAAGUCACAGAAACCUGGAAAGCCUGCCCUUUUAUCUUAGGGAAUGAAUGCUGUGACAGAUUGGCAUACUAUGGGAUGAGCUCAAAUCUGGUCAUUUAUUUCAAGCAACAUCUGCACCAAAGCAGUGCUAAAGCAGCUAAAAGCAACUCAAAUUGGAGUGGAACAUGUUAUCUCACUCCCUUACUUGGAGCAUUUUUGGCUGAUGCCUAUUUGGAAGAUAUAAGAUUUUGCCUCUUUCUCAAUCAUCUAUGUCAUUGAAGAGUACAUCGAGAACUAAGAGCAUGAGAAUUUCAAUUCGGUUUUCUCAUGUGGAAGGUUAUUGAUCAAACAAGGGGACUCCUAUAUUAUGUUAAAAAGAAUUGGUCAAAAGCUGUUUACACUCCUGAACUGAAAUAUUUAUGUAUCACUGGGAGGUUUUCCGAAGUAAGGAAAGAAAUAAGAGCAAAAGGAAGGAGAUAUGUGCAAUUGAUGGAGAAUUGUGGACUCUUGAUGAAUCAAGGAAGCUUAAGGCAAUAUGGAGAAAAAGAUAUUCAGCAAUUAAUUCUCUUGGCUACUCCUAUUGGAUAGAAGGAUGUCAAUGAAUCCUAAAUCAAUUAGAACAUUAAUCAAGGAGUUAGAGUCCCAAAAGGAAAGAUGGAAAGAGUUACAAACUGAAUAAAAUCUCUCCUUGGACGUUGAAGAAAGGGGGAUCUCACAUACGAAGAAGCCUAGAUGCACCAGAGCUCAAGAAGAAGCAAGACUGCAAAACCACACCAGAAACGAUCGAUCGUUGGAAUUUCCGAGAUCGAUCGCUGAUCCGUAUUUUCCAAUUUUCUGAUUCUUGUUGUCUUCUUCUUUCUCCAUGAACUCCUUUGUGUUUUUGAUUCCCAUUAUGUGUAACUAAAUUUCCAGUAGUUAGGGGGCAGUUGAAACCCCUAGACAUGA
Rosa chinensis is the source of this 1938-nucleotide RNA transcript. It is a transcript of the gene named protein NRT1/ PTR FAMILY 8.1, with no coding region annotated. The record is from RefSeq and is a predicted model, not a curated record. The transcript has 8 exons. Lineage: Eukaryota; Viridiplantae; Streptophyta; Magnoliopsida; Rosales; Rosaceae.